CGUUAGUCCCAUCUUUAUUCUUUCUGAGGUCCAUUGGCUCCUGUUUGUACAUUCUACUAUCAAUCUUCUGUCUGCUCAGAAUUUUUUUUUUAGAGGGACCUAUUCCCAGGAAAGAAAAUGGGAGAUAAUUUUAACUUAUUCAGAACAGCUGUUGAGCAAAAGGAGAUGAGUAGUCCAGUUACGUACUAGAAGACUGAAAAGACCAGUGGCAGUUUUGUUGUGCCAUUUCCAGACUUCAGCAGGCUUUCAGCACAGUGUCUCUUGCAGAUAUUUGAAGUGCACAAAUGAAAAAAGGAUUCCAGAAAUAAAUAGAAGAGAGUAUUGCUUAAACUCCUGGGAGAGUCACUCUACCAACCUAUAGCCCCAACUGUGGUCAUAUGGAAAACCAACCCAACAAUUAACAACCACUUAUCUUUUCUGCCACCUUGUAUCUGAAAUAAACCCUUUGAACAGUAGGAUCAGAGCAAAGGAAGGAGAAAGGAGAAACGAACAAGCUCAGACCAACACUGGGCACCUGAUGUGUUCCUGCAAUCAAGCAACAGGCACGCAGACUUCUGGGUUUCUGAGGGAUGCUUAGAAUAUAGGGAAGAAUGAAAAUGAAGAGAUUAUAGGCAGGUUGGGAUAAUAGAUGCUAAGCAAAGCUUUUACGUCUCCCAUAUUUGGCCAAUUAUGCAAAGAGAGAAUCUGCACAGGUAAGCAGCACGUAGGAAUGAGUGUCAGAAGACUUCUCUGGGACAGUGUUACAAGACUGAUUAUCCCUUUAUGUGAGUACGAUCACCAUAUCCACCUGGCACUAACAGCUAAUAAAAAAACAUCCCAAGGUAGCUUUUAACAGAGCUUUCAUGCGUGGCUCUGUCAGUUGCUUUAGGUGCAACAAUGCAUCCCAUAUAGAAGGGUAAAACCCAGGUUAAAUACAGAAUUAGCACAUAACAAAGGAAGGACAUCAUGCUUGAAUCUCUCCCAGUAGCUAAGUCUUCCCUCAUUAGCAAGGCAGAGCAGUGAUAUUUCUGUCCAAGUGUUCAGACUAAUUGAAAAGUGAGGCAAUCAAUUGCUAAUUUCAUAGCUUCUCUGGUUCCUGUAAAAAUAAAACUUUGUCAUGAUCCAUUCAUUAGAUUUCUCACCACACCAGCACAGAUGACUCCUUAUGCCAUUGUACUUCCAUAAGGAAUUACAAUCAGCAACACAGGAAGUCUAAGUAAGAGAGCAUGGAAAACCAUCAAUAGCAGAGAGAGCACCACAGCGUAACAAACGCUUAUCCACAUGAGUGGCUCCCACCAGAGGAAAGAUGUAAUUUGUAGCUGCUUCAGUUUCAAUUGUGGAGACUGAGAAAAAAGAAAGACUUCCUUCUUUUGUGCUGGAAUCUCUUUCAUGAUGAAGCUAUCAAAUUCAAAUACCAAUCAUUUGACAGGCUCUUCUUUAGACAUACUCAGCAAUUCAUUUACUACUUAAAAGCCAGCUGACACUGCCAAAAUGAAUGAGGGUUUGGCAAAUAACUUAAGACUAAGAAUCUCCCCUCUAAAUUUAGUGAGUGCUGUGUUCUAUUGUUUAUCACAGAGGACGUUUAUUGGAUGGACUAAAAUCCCAAUAUAGUAGGAACAUAUUUAAACAUAAAAUGCCUACCAUAAAGUUAUUAAUAUAAACCUAUUUUUGAGAAGCUAGGGAGACCAGACGAGAAAAACUUUCUGAAAAUAAUGGAUGACUUCAGUGUGACACCAGCUGUGCGCAGGCUGGUAUACAGUUACACCAGAUACCUAUUUUGCACAAUAGGUCUCAUGAUAGGUAAGAGUGUGUUACAGGAUGGAUCCACAUUAAAUUGUGACAAUUUUGGCUUCUGCACCAUUAGAAGAAACUGCUCAGCUGAUUAGAAUUAUGUUGUUUCUGUAAAUCAAUCCCUCACAUGGGAUGUUAAAAGAAAAAUUAUUUUGUGAGUAGCAAAUGUAAGCACGCUGAUCCAUGCACAAGUAUCCUGCUGGUAUGUAAACGUCCCCCAUGUUUCUACCAUUAAAGCUCAGUCAUGGGAGUGCAGCCAACUGCACUGACAGGUAAGCAGUGUAACUCCAAUACAGAGCCCAGAAACAUACCUGAAGAUAGAGAAGUUUAAAUCAAGGGCUGGGGACCAGGAAUUCUCAGUUUUACUUCCUUUUCGAGCACUGCAAGGCAAUAGGGCAUAUGGCAAGUCAUUACAAACCAUCAUGCAAAGCCUCCUGGAAAACAAAGAUAGCUCAUUCACCUGAAAAAGAAAACACAUAGAGUAUCUACUCCAGAGAAGUACUUAGAACACUAAUUAGGGAACUGUUCUUUUCUCUUAUCUCCAUUUCAGUCUACUCUCUUCAUUAUAGGAUAAGUCCAUCUCUAGCAAAGAGAAUUUUACACAUGAGAGAAAAAAUAUUAGAGCAUAAACUUCACUUCCAAGUCAUGGCCUUUUUUGCAUUUUUUUGUUUUUUUUUUUUAAACCUCAUAAGAUUAACAGAAUUCAAUAAUUCUAAUCCAUGGAUGAAAGACUUAAAAAAUACUCCAAAACAUAACAGUCAUACAUUUCAGUGAAUGAAACGAAGUGGAAAAAAAUAGAAGACUCAUCUAUGCCUUAGUAAAGAGUGUCAGAAGCAAAGCAGCUAUGAAAGAAAAGUAAAGAGAAGCUCAGUGACUAAAAAUGGGAGCUAUGAAACAGAUUCUCAGCAUAUAUGAACACUUCACCUUUCACGCUGAAAAAAAAUAAAUUAUUUCAAGAUACAGUUUUAAGCUGAUUGUUGUUGUUUUAAAAAGAAGACCAAGCGUGGAGUAUUUCCAUCAGUAAUAACCUUCCCAU
Molecule: long non-coding RNA, 2806 nt
Organism: Lagopus leucura (white-tailed ptarmigan)
Lineage: Eukaryota; Metazoa; Chordata; Aves; Galliformes; Phasianidae
Exons: 3
Source: RefSeq, a predicted model, not a curated record